RNAcentral lists this ribosomal RNA (426 nucleotides) under uncultured Actinomycetes bacterium. RNAcentral's name for it is "bacterial SSU rRNA". It matches the Rfam family "Bacterial small subunit ribosomal RNA", at positions 233 to 671 of the family's 1533-position model. Lineage: Bacteria; Bacillati; Actinomycetota; Actinomycetes. The record is from RNAcentral.
GCGGCCUAUCAGCUUGUUGGUGAGGUAAAGGCUCACCAAGGCUACGACGGGUAUCCGGCCUGAGAGGGCGACCGGACACACUGGGACUGAGACACGGCCCAGACUCCUACGGGAGGCAGCAGUGGGGAAUAUUGGGCAAUGGACGAAAGUCUGACCCAGCGACGCCGCGUGAGGGAUGAAGGCCUUCGGGUUGUAAACCUCUUUCAGUAGGGAAGAAGCGAAAGUGACGGUACCUAAAGAAGAAGCACCGGCUAACUAUGUGCCAGCAGCCGCGGUAAUACAUAGGGUGCAAGCGUUGUCCGGAAUUAUUGGGCGUAAAGAGCUCGUAGGUGGUUUGUUGCGUCGGGUGUGAAAUUCAGGGGCUCAACCCCUGACCUGCACUCGAUACGGGCAAGCUAGAGUUUGGUAGGGGAGACUGGAAUUCCU